AAAUUGAAGAGUUUGAUCAUGGCUCAGAUUGAACGCUGGCGGCAGGCCUAACACAUGCAAGUCGAGCGGUAGCACAGAGAGCUUGCUCUCGGGUGACGAGCGGCGGACGGGUGAGUAAUGUCUGGGAAACUGCCUGAUGGAGGGGGAUAACUACUGGAAACGGUAGCUAAUACCGCAUAACGUCGCAAGACCAAAGUGGGGGACCUUCGGGCCUCAUGCCAUCAGAUGUGCCCAGAUGGGAUUAGCUAGUAGGUGGGGUAAUGGCUCACCUAGGCGACGAUCCCUAGCUGGUCUGAGAGGAUGACCAGCCACACUGGAACUGAGACACGGUCCAGACUCCUACGGGAGGCAGCAGUGGGGAAUAUUGCACAAUGGGCGCAAGCCUGAUGCAGCCAUGCCGCGUGUAUGAAGAAGGCCUUCGGGUUGUAAAGUACUUUCAGCGAGGAGGAAGGCGUUAAGGUUAAUAACCUUGGCGAUUGACGUUACUCGCAGAAGAAGCACCGGCUAACUCCGUGCCAGCAGCCGCGGUAAUACGGAGGGUGCAAGCGUUAAUCGGAAUUACUGGGCGUAAAGCGCACGCAGGCGGUCUGUCAAGUCGGAUGUGAAAUCCCCGGGCUCAACCUGGGAACUGCAUUCGAAACUGGCAGGCUAGAGUCUUGUAGAGGGGGGUAGAAUUCCAGGUGUAGCGGUGAAAUGCGUAGAGAUCUGGAGGAAUACCGGUGGCGAAGGCGGCCCCCUGGACAAAGACUGACGCUCAGGUGCGAAAGCGUGGGGAGCAAACAGGAUUAGAUACCCUGGUAGUCCACGCCGUAAACGAUGUCGACUUGGAGGUUGUGCCCUUGAGGCGUGGCUUCCGGAGCUAACGCGUUAAGUCGACCGCCUGGGGAGUACGGCCGCAAGGUUAAAACUCAAAUGAAUUGACGGGGGCCCGCACAAGCGGUGGAGCAUGUGGUUUAAUUCGAUGCAACGCGAAGAACCUUACCUACUCUUGACAUCCAGAGAACUUAGCAGAGAUGCUUUGGUGCCUUCGGGAACUCUGAGACAGGUGCUGCAUGGCUGUCGUCAGCUCGUGUUGUGAAAUGUUGGGUUAAGUCCCGCAACGAGCGCAACCCUUAUCCUUUGUUGCCAGCGGUUCGGCCGGGAACUCAAAGGAGACUGCCAGUGAUAAACUGGAGGAAGGUGGGGAUGACGUCAAGUCAUCAUGGCCCUUACGAGUAGGGCUACACACGUGCUACAAUGGCAUAUACAAAGAGAAGCGACCUCGCGAGAGCAAGCGGACCUCAUAAAGUAUGUCGUAGUCCGGAUUGGAGUCUGCAACUCGACUCCAUGAAGUCGGAAUCGCUAGUAAUCGUAGAUCAGAAUGCUACGGUGAAUACGUUCCCGGGCCUUGUACACACCGCCCGUCACACCAUGGGAGUGGGUUGCAAAAGAAGUAGGUAGCUUAACCUUCGGGAGGGCGCUUACCACUUUGUGAUUCAUGACUGGGGUGAAGUCGUAACAAGGUAACCGUAGGGGAACCUGCGGUUGGAUCACCUCCUUA
Molecule: ribosomal RNA, 1540 nt
Filed under: Klebsiella aerogenes
Lineage: Bacteria; Pseudomonadati; Pseudomonadota; Gammaproteobacteria; Enterobacterales; Enterobacteriaceae
Description: bacterial SSU rRNA
Rfam family: Bacterial small subunit ribosomal RNA
Source: RNAcentral